GGUUCAUAAGUUGAUAUUAACAAAAUACCCAAUUUCUCGAGUUACAUAAUAUCAUGGUGCCUAAACGUUUUUUUACGAGGACCCAUCCUCACUUACCAACUUGAACUUGCAUCGGAAGGUUCCCCAUCAAUAAUGAAGAAAUGCGAAUUCUAAAUACAUCCCUAAAUAUGAAGAGUUGUUCCUUUAAAUUGAGUAAAAGACUUAGUUUGAUACACUCUAGUGUGUCCAAUCUGGUUAACCAAGUAAAUAUGGAAAGUGUGCAAGACCAAAGCUUGCGUUCGGUUCUGUCUAUUGACACCAAGCCUAGGCUAGAAGGGACUUCAUGAUCAUUUAAUGGAAUGCUCAAAACCCAUACUAGUUGUUCAGGAAUCUUUUUGAAUCAAAGCAAGCUAACAUGUGUGAUGCUUUAGAGAAAUAUUUUUGCACAAUGCAAUGUUGCAUGAAUCACGAGUGAUGAAAGCUUUCUUCAUUUCCUCGUCUGGUUAUAUAUUGGACUUUGUGAUGCUUUAUUCAUUGAAGUAUCUAUUAUUCCUUGCACUAAUGAUAACAUUGAGCAACAAACCUGGAUUAUUAAUGAGAUUAGAUUGUUAUACAUGGUAGCUGCUGCAGUUCCGCUUUUAUAUGCAAUUUGCAUGUACAAGGAUUAUGAAAUAUUAAACCAUAGGAUGCUGCUAACUCUAAUGGACAGAAUAAGCAAUAUGAAAAUGCAAAAUGGAGCAUGGCUAUAUGGAUUAAUUCAAGUGACAUCAAGUGACCCUGAACCCUUUGCUUAUGACUUUGACAGAAGCAUUAUUCUGAAUGAUUGGUAUCACCAGAGUACUAAUGAAUAAACCAUUGGAUUGUCUUCAAAUCCUUUUGUAUGGUUGAGGAGACCACAGUCAUAUGAUUACAUCUGAAAAGGAUAAGAUAAAGCCAAAGUAUCCCCUGUUAGUUACACAUUCUUAACAUAAAUGGCAGUGUUAUAGAGAAAACAAUCAUGAAAUAAUUAAAAGAGAAUCAAAGGGAGUGAUCCAGCCGUGGGGUUAUCAACAGGCAGAAGUUCAAAGGUGGCAGUGUAAAACAUACACCAGAAAUCCUACCUCAUUUCAGUUACGUUUGAGAAAAGUCAGCCAUGAAUGUGCAUAAAAGAGAUGCAUGGUAGUGUUAUUGCUAUAUCAGUUACAGUUAGCAUAAUGGCUAGCAGUUAUUUGGGGCAUCCUAACAGGUGCUCUGAAUCAGCUACAAGACUCAGAACCAGCUAUAAAAGAAGGGCAAUCACGCAUACAAAAAGGAGGCAAAGAUAGAGAACAUAGAGAAUAACAAUUUGAUACAGAGAGUUCACAUUAGCAUAUAACACAACACCAAGCACCUAUAUCCAAAGAGAAACCUACAUACAUUCGAGCAAAAGCUAUCCGAAAAUAGAGUUACAUUACUCAGAGGGGCAUAACAAAAAUCAGAGAUACAACACAGAGCAUACACUCAGAAUACCAGGAUAACCACACAAUCAUUUCUCAUGGAUUGGCUUCUCUAUGCGACGGCGUCCCACUAUCAUAUCAUCACCGAAUCAAUGCAAACCGAAUCAUGCCUAGACCAAGUAGAAAAGUAAAAAGAGAUGAGUGAUAAAAGAUGAAUAGAUUAGGGAGAAAGAUUACCCUUUGCCUCAAACCACCGUGGCAAUAGGUGUUCCCAACCUUGAUUCUGCUUUCAUCGCGAACCACCAUACCGCUUUCAUUCUCCCUCAAUGUACCUAUUUAAUAAAACCAAGCAGCAACCAAAAACCAAUCAAGUAAAAUCGAAAAGUAGAAAAGGAGAUGAAUUCACCUUCAUCGGAACGAAAAGAGGAAGGGAUGUCCCAACCGCGAAUAAACCCCUCACCCGAGAACCGUCACAACCCUAAUAGCAAGCCAUCACCGUCAUGCCAUCCUGUCGUCGUCUCGCCACCACCGUAAAGGCACCUCCGUAGUCGUCGAUUAGAAAGAAGGGAAGAAAAGAGGAAUUAGGGAUAUCUUCCGAAACGAACACGGAGUAAUAAAGAGUAACCAUGCACCCUUUGGCUAAAAUCGGUUUCAUCCGAGAGUGAUUCCCUUUGCUGAGAGCUAUGAGGACGAAGGGGAACAUUGAAGAAGAUGGUGAAGUAUCAGGGACGUGUGGAUUUUAGGCUCAAGCAAGGAAUUAGGGAUUCAAAUCCCUUUUCCUUUAAACUCACGUAUGCCUUGCCUUUUUUCUUCUAG
Molecule: long non-coding RNA, 2210 nt
Filed under: Lupinus angustifolius (narrow-leaved blue lupine)
Lineage: Eukaryota; Viridiplantae; Streptophyta; Magnoliopsida; Fabales; Fabaceae
Description: long non-coding RNA (LANG_LNC001668)
Source: RNAcentral